This is an RNA transcript of Olea europaea var. sylvestris, 1995 nucleotides long. It is a transcript of the gene named U-box domain-containing protein 45-like, with no coding region annotated. The record is from RefSeq and is a predicted model, not a curated record. The transcript is spliced from 3 exons. Lineage: Eukaryota; Viridiplantae; Streptophyta; Magnoliopsida; Lamiales; Oleaceae.
UAUACAGAAAAAUUCACCGCACUGUAACCGACUGCUCUCUCUCUCUCUCUUUUCAAGAAAUAUUGACCGUUCCCAUUAACUCACUCGCUCAGUCUCCUAUGUCCCCUACCCCAAUUCAUAUUAAUAAAUAAAUAUGAUGCUACAUCUUUGUGGUUUGGACUAAUAUAUUCCAUCGGACGCAGACAAAAUGAGAGGGUGUAGAUGCUGCUACUACUAAAAACUCUUUACACAAACACAAACACGCACUGUUCUUCCUUUUUCAGUGUUGCGUCAAAAGGGCAGGUAGAUUUUCUGUUCGGGUUUAUGUUUCUGUAAUGCCAGAGUGAGUGGCAAAAGAUAAAUGUCUGGGUUGGGCAACAAUGGGCAAAUUUGAAGGUGGCAAAGUUGUCGGAUCGGUCGAGCUGGAUCGGAAUUUCACACUUUCGUCGGCAUUUUCCGGUGCCUCAUUUCGCCGGAAGAUCAUCAAUGCCAUUCGCUGCGGCGGCGGAAUCCCGCAAAAGCCCAGCAAUAAACCCGAAAAGAAGAGGCAAUCCGGAUCCAACAAGUUGUCGGAGCUUCUGAAGCAACCGGAGUGUAGGGAGAGUGAGGAUGAAAUAAGGAAAAAGGAGGAGUACUUGGAGGAGCUAAAACGAGUGGCGAAGAAGCUUCAGCAAGAGAGCAACUCAGAGGAAGAACUGAAGAUAAAUGUGUUGGAGGGGGCGACAGAUGUUAGGAGGUUUACAAAGGAAGAUUCUCAGGCAAGGACCACUCUAGCUCUUCUGGGUGUCAUUCCGCCGCUCGUGGCGGCGCUUGACGCGGAGGAUCCCACUUCUCAGACUCAGAUCGCCGCCCUUUAUGCAUUGCUUAACCUCACCAUUGCCAAUGAUGCAAACAAAGCUGCUAUUGUUAAAGCAGGGGCUGUCCACAAGAUGCUAAAGCUAGUCAAUUCUUCAAAUGAAUCACCUAAGCAGUCUGUUGCUGAAGCAAUUGUAGCUAAUUUUCUUGGUUUGAGUGCACUCGACUCGAAUAAACCAAUCAUUGGUUCUUCAGGUGCAAUCCCAUUUUUGGUGGAAACUUUCAAAGAUUUCAAUGAGCAAAUUAGUUCUCAAGCUAAACAGGACUCUUUGCGAGCACUCUACAAUCUUUCCAUCUUGCCUUCGAACGUGCUUUUGAUCCUGGAGACUGAUCUGAUACCACUUCUCUUGAGCAAGCUGGGAGAUGUGGAUGCAAGUGAGAGAAUCCUCUCUAUACUUAGCAACGUAGUAUCUGUUGCAGAGGGGAGGAAGGCAAUUAGGAUUUUGCCCGAUGCCUUUCCAAUACUAAUUGAUGUACUGAAUUGGACGGAUUCACCAGGGUGCCAAGAGAAAGUAUCAUACAUUCUUAUGGUGAUAGUUCACAAAUCUUAUGGAGACAGGCAAGCAAUGAUCGAGGCUGGAAUUGCCUCCUCCCUUCUUGAACUGACAUUAUUAGGAAGCACGUUGGCACAAAAAAGAGCUUCAAGGAUAUUGGAGUGUUUAAGAGUGGAGAAAGGGAAGCAAGUUUCGGGAGGGUUGGGAUCAGGAUUGUCAGCUCCGUUGUACGGUCCUUCACCUACUCAUCAAUCGGACGAAUUAUUGGAGGGGGAGGACGAUAUGUUGAGCGAAGAGAGGAAAGCAGUCGGGCAACUAGUUCAACAAAGUUUGCACAAUAACAUGAAGAGAAUGAUGAAGAGGGCUAAUUUGCCACGAGAUUUUGUUGCUUCUCAUCAUUUCAAGUCCCUUUCAUCAAGUUCCACGUCUAAGAGCUUACCAUUUUGAGGGAAUUGAAAAGUUCAGAAACAACCAGAAUUGUGUUUAUGCUGCUGGAUUGCUUCUUUCGUCUAGGGUGCAAUAACUAAGAAGAUUCUUGUCUCCCUCUGUUGACAAUAGGUUUUUGAGUUCUCCGGAAUCUUUGGGUCUACUAAAGUCGAAGCGAAUUUAUUAUUCCUUUGGCCACCUAAAUGGCUAAAAACUAUAUAUGUCCAACUUCUUAUAAAAA